UCAUGAAAUAUGUACUAUCAAGAUACCUAGGUAACUUUUUCAGUGUUCAUAAGAAGAAUAUGAACCCAAAUUCGAUGUAUGACGCUCUUUGAAGUACUAACUAGUAACUAGAUACAAUCUAUAAUAUAGUAAUAGUAUGUACUCACUUAGGGAAGGUAUAUGACAGGAGAAGUGAUGGGUUUAUUAUACAAACCAUCACCUUCAAGUGAUUACUUAUUGUCCAGUAGACAAUUCUAGCCUAAUUUUACCCCAUCAUCUGACAAUAUUUCGGAGGAGCGAUUUUGUUCAUACGUUGAAUUUUGUCAAUUUUUUCCCCCAAAAUUUACGAGUUGAAAUUGAAAAAAAAUUCUGGCGUGCCUUAAACGGCCAAUUCGGACGCGUUAUAUGCGACUGUCAUAGAAGUAAAAAAUUUCACAUGGCAUUGAAAUUUUUUUUUGAUCUGCCUGCCCCUCCAAAAGAAACAGCAGCCCAAAUCUUCUCAAUUCAGAUACCUAGAAUACUUUUUUGAAAAUAAAUUUCACGUGUAGUUACAAAUUCAACAGUUUAACGAGUUUUCUCAUUCAAAGACGAGAACAAUAAUAAUUACACAGACGUGAGAUUUUUUUUUCGAAAUUGCUAACAACUGCAUUUCCUGAAUAAAACCGCGAAACUUUUCAUAAAGUCACACUUUGUCUGCUUUCAAAACCCAGAAAACUGUAAUACAAUUCCGAAGAAGAAUUACAGAGCAGCACAAACGUACCAUUUUUUCAGAUAAACGACAGGCGAUCUUCAAGGCCGAAUGCUUCACCAAUUUCAAUAUUCAUUCCCACCUCCCGUUUUUUCGAGCUAACCAGUCAUGCUUUUUCUCAGUCGUGAAAAAAAUUAUAAUACGAAUAUUGAAACGCCAUUGAAAAGAGCAAAAUUCAUCACUGUUUCGGCGGUUCGAUAACUACAUACUUGAUAAUUAAAUCGCCAUAUUCGAUGACCAAUUAACUUAUCGAGAGCGAAUACAAGCGAAGAGAACAUACGGAGGUCAUUCGAUUGUAUGUAAGGCGCGAUUAAAUCAGAAAUUGAAACUUGUAAACAAUACGGCUAUACAUAUGAAAAUAUGUAUUGUGCACGUCUUUCUUGGCGUAUUUAAUUUACAUAAUUCACUGUGUCAAGCGGCGAAUUACAGAUUUCAUUCACGUCUGCCAAACCCAGCAAUGUAGAUUAAUUUGUACCCGUAACAAAAGAAUAAAGAAAAAAGUCAAGCAUCAUCGAUUGUUCGUGUCAUUUUUAGCAAUUUUUCAUCCACCGGUUUCUUACUUAUACUAUUAUAGGGUACCUAGACCUACUACCUAUGUAGGUUCUCUUGCACAUAUUUUUCCGUUGAAAAAUUUCGAUUGUUUGCCAACAAUUUGUCGUCUAAUGGCUGUCGAAUCACAAGAGUUGUUUCUUUCCGCAGAUAAUUCUGUUGAAUUUUAAUUUUUUAACCGCAAUUACAUAAUA
This is a long non-coding RNA of Planococcus citri (citrus mealybug), 1470 nucleotides long. RefSeq lists it as uncharacterized. Lineage: Eukaryota; Metazoa; Arthropoda; Insecta; Hemiptera; Pseudococcidae. The record is from RefSeq and is a predicted model, not a curated record. The transcript is spliced from 3 exons.